This 88-nucleotide non-coding RNA is filed under the name Propionispira arboris. RNAcentral describes it as "c-di-GMP-I riboswitch aptamer". It matches the Rfam family "c-di-GMP-I riboswitch aptamer". Rfam says of the family: GEMM was predicted in a large-scale screen for bacterial structured RNA regulatory elements. The record is from Rfam by way of RNAcentral. Lineage: Bacteria; Bacillati; Bacillota; Negativicutes; Selenomonadales; Selenomonadaceae.
UUUUCCAAAUAGCAAACCUAUUGAAAAAUAGGGACGCAAAGCCGUGGGUCUAAAGAUAUUAUAAGUCUAUGACUGCCAGGUUGCAUCA